UGGCUUCUGCAGCCUAUGUGACAAAAACCAGAACAAUCCAGAGAACAUUAGCCGGGUCCCUGUGCACGGAUGACACACAGAUCUAUAAAACGUCCUGUAUUUUU
Molecule: small nuclear RNA, 104 nt
Organism: Rattus norvegicus (Norway rat)
Lineage: Eukaryota; Metazoa; Chordata; Mammalia; Rodentia; Muridae
Source: Ensembl